GUUUAAACUCAAUUUCUUAUCAAUAUCCAAAAAUUGCACCACCAAAGAAAUCAAUGCAAAAAAAUAAUAGCACAAAAGAAAUCAAUCUAUUAGAAUUAGAAGACAUAAAUAUAUAGCAAUAGAUGGAAGCCAUACGCUUUCUUGACAAUAACACAAUAGAAAGCAACAUUAGCUGUUCAAUAAUAAUCCGCAGGACAUAAACAACACGAGGGAUAACAGUUGAUUAAAACCCUAAACGAAAAAUUAAAUUUUUUUCGUUAUAAAUAUAAAAAGGAAAACCUCCUCAUACCACCUCUUUCACCUGCUUGGGCAUGGAAUCAGCUUCAGGGAUCUUAACAUAACCCAUCUUCUUAGGGCUAACAUCAUCCUCUUCAUCUCCAUCCUCGCUAUCAAAUUCCUCGUAGCGAUAAUCGUAACGAGUAGAGAAGAGGGACCAGACCAAGUACAUGGUAGCGGCGGUAAGAGCGCCACAACCAACCCCAAAAAGCAAGGCGACGACGACACUGAGAAUGUCCUUGGUGCGAUCGCGGAGAGAACUCAUGUCAUAGGAGGAAAGCCCAAAAGGCAAGUCAGGGCCUGCCUGCCGCCGUUGGAUACCUUUGGGCUCAGAAGCAUCAACAGCGGGGAAAACCCGGCGAUCGAGGAAGAUCUCAGAUGAGGAGUGUUGUUGGGUGAUUUCGGUGACGAUGGUGACGAAUCCGGAGGAGGAAGGGCGGUCAGAGUUAGGGUUAGGGUAAAGAGGCUUGAUGGAAAAGGAGUAGGAGGAGAUGAAGAGGGUUUUGCAGGGUCUAGCGGAGGCAGAGAAGGAGAGAAAAGCAGCAAGAAUUGAGAAGAGAAGAAGAAGGUUUGUAUUUGGUAAAGCCAUUGAAAAGGAGAAGAAUGCCAGACCAGAGCUGUUAUCGGAGAAACCUGAGCAAUAAAAGAUGACGUCGUGGACUUCGCCAGUCGGAGAAAUAUU
This 958-nucleotide unclassified non-coding RNA is filed under the name Hevea brasiliensis (rubber tree). Lineage: Eukaryota; Viridiplantae; Streptophyta; Magnoliopsida; Malpighiales; Euphorbiaceae. The record is from RNAcentral.